RNAcentral lists this ribosomal RNA (423 nucleotides) under uncultured bacterium. Its description in RNAcentral is "bacterial SSU rRNA". It matches the Rfam family "Bacterial small subunit ribosomal RNA", at positions 207 to 622 of the family's 1533-position model. The record is from RNAcentral.
AAGACCUUGCGCUUUUGGAGCGGCCGAUGCCUGAUUAGCUUGUUGGUAAGGUAAAAGCUUACCAAGGCUUCGAUCAGUAGCUGGUCUGAGAGGACGGCCAGCCACACUGGGACUGAGACACGGCCCAGACUCCUACGGGAGGCAGCAGUGGGGAAUUUUGGACAAUGGGGGCAACCCUGAUCCAGCCAUGCCGCGUGAGUGAAGAAGGCCUUCGGGUUGUAAAGCUCUUUCAGCCGGAACGAAACGGUUACGGUUAAUACCCGUGAUUACUGAUGGUACUGGAAGAAGAAGCACCGGCUAACUACGUGCCAGCAGCCGCGGUAAUACGUAGGGUGCGAGCGUUAAUCGGAAUUACUGGGCGUAAAGCGUGCGCAGGUGGUUUUGUAAGUCAGAUGUGAAAUCCCCGGGCUCAACCUGGGAACU